GGGCCCGCACAAGCGGUGGAGCAUGUGGUUUAAUUCGAUGCAACGCGAAGAACCUUACCAGGCCUUGACAUCCUCGGAACUUUCUAGAGAUAGAUUGGUGCCUUCGGGAGCUCUGAGACAGGUGCUGCAUGGCUGUCGUCAGCUCGUGUUGUGAAAUGUUGGGUUAAGUCCCGCAACGAGCGCAACCCUUAUCCUUGUUUGCCAGCACAUAAUGGUGGGAACUCCAGGGAGACUGCCGGUGAUAAACCGGAGGAAGGUGGGGACGACGUCAAGUCAUCAUGGCCCUUACGAGUAGGGCUACACACGUGCUACAAUGGCAUAUACAGAGGGCAGCGAGACCGCGAGGUGGAGCG
Molecule: ribosomal RNA, 353 nt
Filed under: uncultured bacterium
Lineage: Bacteria
Description: bacterial SSU rRNA
Rfam family: Bacterial small subunit ribosomal RNA
Source: RNAcentral